This 91-nucleotide small RNA is filed under the name Arabidopsis thaliana (thale cress). RNAcentral's name for it is "ATSL086080". Lineage: Eukaryota; Viridiplantae; Streptophyta; Magnoliopsida; Brassicales; Brassicaceae. The record is from RNAcentral.
UCAUUUAGAACUAGAAAAAUUGCUAAGAAUGUCCUUUCAACACUACCCUUUUUCAAUUAUGCCCUUUUCUGUUUGUCAUUUUCAUUUAUAA